RNAcentral lists this non-coding RNA (183 nucleotides) under Maledivibacter halophilus. The record is from RNAcentral. Lineage: Bacteria; Bacillati; Bacillota; Clostridia; Peptostreptococcales; Caminicellaceae.
UAAUUGAAUAGAUUAUGAGGUGCCUAUGAAAUAGGUUAAAAGGGAAAACGGUGUAAAUCCGUUACAGCCCCCGCUACUGUAAGUAGUUAUGAAAUCUUUAACAGCCACUGAGCAAUGUUUGGGAAGGCAAAGAGAGUAAGCUAUACUACAAGUCAGGAAACCUGCCUUAUAUGAUGUAAUAAA